This 460-nucleotide ribosomal RNA is filed under the name uncultured bacterium. Its description in RNAcentral is "partial 16S ribosomal RNA". It matches the Rfam family "Bacterial small subunit ribosomal RNA", at positions 338 to 795 of the family's 1533-position model. The record is from RNAcentral.
CCUACGGGGGGCAGCAGUGAGGAAUAUUGGUCAAUGGACGAGAGUCUGAACCAGCCAAGUAGCGUGAAGGAUGACUGCCCUACGGGUUGUAAACUUCUUUUAUAUGGGAAUAAAAUGUUCCACGUGUGCGUUUUUGUAUGUACUUUAUGAAUAAGGAUCGGCUAACUCCGUGCCAGCAGCCGCGGUAAUACGGAGGAUCCGAGCGUUAUCCGGAUUUAUUGGGUUUAAAGGGAGCGUAGGUGGAUUGUUAAGUCAGUUGUGAAAGUUUGCGGCUCAACCGUAAAAUUGCAGUUGAAACUGGCAGUCUUGAGUACAGUAGAGGUGGGCGGAAUUCGUGGUGUAGCGGUGAAAUGCUUAGAUAUCACGAAGAACUCCGAUUGCGAAGGCAGCUCACUGGACUGCAACUGACACUGAGGCUCGAAAGUGUGGGUAUCAAACAGGAUUAGAUACCCCAGUAGUC